ACGGGAGGCAGCAGUGAGGAAUAUUGGUCAAUGGACGCAAGUCUGAACCAGCCACGUCGCGUGAAGGAAGACGGCCCUACGGGUUGUAAACUUCUUUGUAAGGGAAUA
RNAcentral lists this ribosomal RNA (108 nucleotides) under uncultured soil bacterium. RNAcentral's name for it is "partial 16S ribosomal RNA". It matches the Rfam family "Bacterial small subunit ribosomal RNA", at positions 341 to 447 of the family's 1533-position model. The record is from RNAcentral.